Molecule: long non-coding RNA, 890 nt
Organism: Erigeron canadensis
Lineage: Eukaryota; Viridiplantae; Streptophyta; Magnoliopsida; Asterales; Asteraceae
Exons: 2
Source: RefSeq, a predicted model, not a curated record
UCUAACUAUCCAUAAAAAAUCAAAAUACAUCUUCCCCAAAAAUCUUCUACCUAACCUUCAAGUCUUCAACUUUCACUCUGCAAAUCAAAGUUUUUUUAAUUACCAACCGCCCUUUUCUUUAAUUGAUCUAUACUAACAGUAUCUCAACUUUCCAAUCCUACAAGGCUACAAGGAUUGGUAACAAACUAUUGCUUAACAUAAAAGAAACUCGCUGGAAAUUUUACUGGAGCGGCGGCCGGAAAGCAAAAACAUCACGGCGGCGGCUGGACAUCGUAAGAACCGGUAGUAGGAGGUAGUUGACGGGGUGGUUGGUGGUGGCACAACAGCAUCUCGACAGACAUACAAGGCUUUAGAGGAAAUCGGUUUGUAAAUUUUUUGGGGUUUUUUAGUCAAAUUGUUACAAUUCCAUUGGAAUGGAAAACUUUCCAUAGGUUUAGUGAUGGAAUUGUAGAUUCUGUGUUUCAAGGAAUUUGAAGGAAAGUUUUGAAAUCCAAUUACAUUAUUUUUCCAACCAAACAACAUAUGGAAUGGAAGUCAAAUUCCAAUUCCUUUGAAUUUUCAUGAAUUCCAUGAACCAAACAUGCCCUUAGUUGUAGAGUUAUAUUAGAAAGAUGGUUGUAGAUUGAGGGGUACUCUACAAAAUUGAUUUGAAAAUUGUUGAAUACGACGUAAUGUCUUAUUCGGUGAAUAGGAUAGUGGUUUGGACACUGUAUAGCAAAGGGAAAUGAUCAUGGAAACUCUUAUAUCCAAGGAGAUUGCAAAUUUUAUAGAAUGGUUCAGUGGAAGUGUUUUUGAAGGUUAGUGGUACAACCUUGCUAUUGUAAUGUUUUUUGGUUUGUAAUGGUUUAUUUUACGCCUUGUAAAAUAAAAGUUUUGGAUAUUUAUACUUU